AUAAUGGUGUCUUUAGACACCACAUCUUAUCUUAGAAAAAAAAUUCU
Picea glauca (white spruce) is the source of this 47-nucleotide non-coding RNA. Lineage: Eukaryota; Viridiplantae; Streptophyta; Pinopsida; Pinales; Pinaceae. The record is from Rfam.